Molecule: ribosomal RNA, 402 nt
Filed under: uncultured bacterium
Lineage: Bacteria
Description: bacterial SSU rRNA
Rfam family: Bacterial small subunit ribosomal RNA
Source: RNAcentral
UCGGGAAUUUUGGGCAAUGGGCGAAAGCCUGACCCAGCAACGCCGCGUGAAGGAUGAAGUAUUUCGGUAUGUAAACUUCGAAAGAAUAGGAAGAAUAAAUGACGGUACUAUUUAUAAGCUCCGGCUAACUACGUGCCAGCAGCCGCGGUAAUACGUAGGGAGCAAGCGUUGUUCGGAUUUACUGGGCGUAAAGGGCGCGUAGGCGGCGCGGUAAGUCACUUGUGAAAUCUCUGAGCUUAACUCAGAACGGCCAAGUGAUACUGCAGUGCUAGAGUGCAGAAAGGGCAAGCGGAAUUCUUGGUGUAGCGGUGAAAUGCGUAGAUAUCAAGAGGAACACCUGAGGCGAAGGCGGGUUGCUAGGCUGACACUGACGCUGAGGCGCGAAAGCCAGGGGAGCAAACG